RNAcentral lists this ribosomal RNA (505 nucleotides) under uncultured bacterium. Its description in RNAcentral is "partial 16S ribosomal RNA". It matches the Rfam family "Bacterial small subunit ribosomal RNA", at positions 28 to 507 of the family's 1533-position model. The record is from RNAcentral.
GACGAACGCUGGCGGCGUGCCUAAUACAUGCAAGUAGAACGCACAGUUUAUACCGUAGCUUGCUACACCAUAGACUGUGAGUUGCGAACGGGUGAGUAACGCGUAGGUAACCUGCCUGGUAGCGGGGGAUAACUAUUGGAAACGAUAGCUAAUACCGCAUAAUAUUAAUUAUUGCAUGAUAAUUAAUUGAAAGGUGCAAUUGCACCACUACCAGAUGGACCUGCGUUGUAUUAGCUAGUAGGUGAGGUAACGGCUCACCUAGACGACGAUACAUAGCCGACCUGAGAGGGUGAUCGGCCACACUGGGACUGAGACACGGCCCAGACUCCUACGGGAGGCAGCAGUAGGGAGUCUUCGGCAAUGGACGAAAGUCUGACCGAGCAACGCCGCGUGAGUGAAGAAGGUUUUCGGAUCGUAAAGCUCUGUUGUAAGAGAAGAACGGGUGUGAGAGUGGAAAGUUCACACUGCGACGGUAUCUUACCAGAAAGGGACGGCUAACUACGUG